UGGGGAAUAUUGCACAAUGGGGGAAACCCUGAUGCAGCGACGCCGCGUGAGCGAAGAAGGCUUUCGAGUCGUAAAGUUCUUUUAUAUGGGAAGAUAAUGACGGUAUCAUAGGAGGAAGCCCCGGCUAAAUACGUGCCAGCAGCCGCGGUAAUACGUAUGGGGCGAGCGUUGUCCGGAAUUAUUGGGCGUAAAGGGUACGUAGGCGGUCUAUUAAGUCAGGUGUGAAAGCGUGAGGCUUAACCUCAUUAAGCACUUGAAACUGAUAGACUUGAGUGAAGGAGAGGAAAGUGGAAUUCCUAGUGUAGCGGUGAAAUGCGUAGAUAUUAGGAGGAAUACCGGUGGCGAAGGCGACUUUCUGGACUUUUACUGACGCUCAGGUACGAAAGCGUGGGGAGCAAACAGG
RNAcentral lists this ribosomal RNA (403 nucleotides) under Verrucomicrobiota bacterium. Its description in RNAcentral is "Verrucomicrobia bacterium partial 16S ribosomal RNA". It matches the Rfam family "Bacterial small subunit ribosomal RNA", at positions 355 to 776 of the family's 1533-position model. The record is from RNAcentral. Lineage: Bacteria; Pseudomonadati; Verrucomicrobiota.